AUUGAACGCUGGCGGCAUGCCUUACACAUGCAAGUCGAGCGGCAGCGCGGGGCAACCUGGCGGCGAGCGGCGAACGGGUGAGUAACACAUCGGAACGUGCCCAGACGUGGGGGAUAGCCCGGCGAAAGCCGGAUUAAUACCGCAUGUGAUCUGAGGAUGAAAGUGGGGGACCGCAAGGCCUCACGCGUUUGGAUCGGCCCGCGUAAGAUUAGCUAGUUGGUGGGGUAAUGGCCUACCAAGGCGACGAUCUUUAGCUGGUCUGAGAGGAUGAUCAGCCACACUGGGACUGAGACACGGCCCAGACUCCUACGGGAGGCAGCAGUGGGGAAUAUUGGACAAUGGGCGAAAGACCUGAUCCAGCAAUGCCGCGUGAGUGAUGAAGGCCUUAGGGUUGUAAAGACUCUUUUACCUAGGGAUGAUAAUGACAGUACCUGGAGAAUAAGACUCCGGCUAACUCCGUGCCAGCAGCCGCGGU
RNAcentral lists this ribosomal RNA (475 nucleotides) under uncultured bacterium. RNAcentral's name for it is "bacterial SSU rRNA". It matches the Rfam family "Bacterial small subunit ribosomal RNA", at positions 30 to 521 of the family's 1533-position model. The record is from RNAcentral.